Molecule: ribosomal RNA, 777 nt
Filed under: uncultured bacterium
Lineage: Bacteria
Description: bacterial SSU rRNA
Rfam family: Bacterial small subunit ribosomal RNA
Source: RNAcentral
AGAGUUUGAUCAUGGCUCAGGACGAACGCUGGCGGCGUGCUUAACACAUGCAAGUCGAACGGUGAAAGAGGAGCUUGCUCCUCUGGAUCAGUGGCGAACGGGUGAGUAACACGUGAGUAACCUGCCCUUGACUCUGGGAUAAGCGUUGGAAACGACGUCUAAUACCGGAUAUGAACCGUGGAGGCAUCUCCUGCGGUUGGAAAGAACUUCGGUCAAGGAUGGACUCGCGGCCUAUCAGGUAGUUGGUGAGGUAACGGCUCACCAAGCCGACGACGGGUAGCCGGCCUGAGAGGGUGACCGGCCACACUGGGACUGAGACACGGCCCAGACUCCUACGGGAGGCAGCAGUGGGGAAUAUUGCACAAUGGGCGAAAGCCUGAUGCAGCAACGCCGCGUGAGGGACGACGGCCUUCGGGUUGUAAACCUCUUUUAGCAGGGAAGAAGCGAAAGUGACGGUACCUGCAGAAAAAGCACCGGCUAACUACGUGCCAGCAGCCGCGGUAAUACGUAGGGUGCAAGCGUUGUCCGGAAUUAUUGGGCGUAAAGAGCUCGUAGGCGGUUUGUCGCGUCUGCUGUGAAAACGCGAGGCUCAACCUCGCGCCUGCAGUGGGUACGGGCAGACUAGAGUGCGGUAGGGGAGAUUGGAAUUCCUGGUGUAGCGGUGGAAUGCGCAGAUAUCAGGAGGAACACCGAUGGCGAAGGCAGAUCUCUGGGCCGUAACUGACGCUGAGGAGCGAAAGCGUGGGGAGCGAACAGGAUUAGAUACCCUAGUAGUCC